CCAGGCUUUCUUUUAUUUUUAACACUAAUACAGUGGGAAAAAGUUUCUGCCACAGCAAGGCAAAGUCCAGGCUUUUGUGAGCAUGUCCUUUUCAUCCAAUGGGCAUUAAUGUAUAGAUUCCAAUGGAAUAAAUCUGAAAUACUCUACUGUAGAAGAUUUGUCCCCCAUUGAAAACAAAUCUUGAUUAGAUGGUUAUUCAGGGAGUGUAUAGGAAGGAAUGGUGUGAAAAUGCUAACUCUAUUCUUUCUUAGAUUGGCACUGAAUAGGCAUUUGGGCUAUUCAAGAAAAAAAAAACACACACACACACACCCAAACCCCAACCCUAUCAACUGUACAAAACCACAAAACUUUACAUAGAUUAUGUGAUCAUGUGUAUUUGGGGAUUCUUCCCCACCCAAAAUAAAAAAUGCACAGUGUUAUGAACACAAAACUGAUGGCAAAAUGAAAUAGUGAUAAAAAUAGUUCUCUGUGUUUUAAAAUAAUAACUUACCUCCUUUUUACUAGAGUAAAAAUACAGAGUCAGCUUGUGAUGGCAUUCCCUCAAAACAUGGAAGGAAUUGCAGUAAUGAAAGUCAUCAUGUAUUCUAAGAGACUGUUCUGCGAGAGCACAACACAGACGGGGCUAAAGCAGGGGUGAGUACCGAAGGGAAAAUCUGCCUGUGGGGAAUUGGGGAUAGAGGGCCUGACUCUCUGUUUUGCAGGAACGUUGCUCCUGCCUGUCCCUUAAGCUGCAGGGGUCCAGGGAUAGGACUUAGCAUGAGAAUAAAAAGCUGCCUGCUCACAAGAGAAAAUGAGCAAGAAAGGAAACAGCAGGCAAUACAAUCUCUUUUAAUUAGGUGUGAAAUCCAGUUCUUUCUCAAUCAGGAGAGCAAAAGGAUAUAUAAAAUGAGACUAGUGCAAGGGUAAGAUGCUACAGAGGGGGAUGGGGAUUUGAAGUCUCUGGACUUGGAAGGAAACAUCAGCUCUCAAAUGAAAACCAAUAUAAAUUUCGGUCCAGUUAAUAAGCCUAAGUCAAGUGGCAGGGCCAGAAAGCCCUUGAGCUUUCAAUUUGGGGCACCAGAUGAGGUUAGUGGGUCUUGCACAUGAAACAGGGUGCAGCUUGCCAAGUUAGUCACACUAGGAAAGAGCCAGUCAUCUCUGGAGAAAGGGGGGAUGUAUUUUGGUGACUGAGCCCCCUUAUUCUCCAAACCCCCUGCCUGGGGUAAGACUUCAGUUACAUGUACUUUACCUCCUCAUAUAUGCCAAGGGAGUCCUGCUGAAUCCCUGCACUAUAGGAGGUAUAGUAGUUUCUUGCUAACAGGUUCCAUCCACAGCAAAUGACUCUGCACCACCCCACUCUCUCUUUCUAUCUCAUUAGUAUCAUCACAGUCUUGGGAGGUGGCUGGGAGCACUGGAGAAAUCACACAUGCAAGUGGAAGGCAGCAAGCAGACAAGAUCUCUUUCUCCUAUCUUGGCUCUAUAUACCUAGCAUAUCCCAGCUGCUAUUACCUCUGUAGUGAGACUAGGGAGGGUCAUCAGCCUAUGGGAGGGCGAGCUGUACAGUUUUACUUACCCAUUCUUGGGUGAAAAGGGGGGUGUUUUGGGCCAUCUCCCAAUAAAGGUUCUCCUCUAUCUUCCAGAUUGUCUAAGCCCAGUGUGGAGGAACCAUCAAGGAUUUCAGCACGUUUUUUUAGCCAUUGUGAGAAGCAAAAGUGCUCAGGAGUUAAGAGAAGCAGACGUCCGAAAUUAUCUCCAUGCAUUACCAAAAACCGUGGGCACCACGGCACGGGGAAAACUUACCAGGUACAAUGAGCCAGUGACUGUUACUGAAUUUCUUAAGAUUACACUUUUCCCAACUACUGCAGACUGCUUCAGAAUAGAAGAAGGUAAGUAAGCAGGGUGAUUACAAGCAAUCCUCCUCGGAAGUGAAACUCACUCUUCUAAGUUUACCUCUGUUUUGAAUUAUUUCAGACAACUCUCAUGCCAUCAAGCCGACGGACUUUCAAAAAAAUAAAAGAUGCAUUUCUUUACUUGUAAGUAUUUGUCUUUGCAAAGGGCUCUCUGAUAUGGUAGCACAGAAGUUUGCACAUUCUAAGGAUCUGAUGUUUUGCCCUCUUCGGGUAUCCCGGCUGGAAGGAGCUACGGUGAAAGGGCACCUAAGGUGAAUGGACAGAUUGUAGAUGGGUGCACACAGGAAAAUGUACAGCUCCUACAAUGUAUUCUGAGGGCCCAUGAGAAGUAAAAGCAGGCACUGGCAUUCUGCACAGAUGAAAUACUUCCUACGACAGGAAUACAUGCUCACUUGUGGACUUCUCUGUAAUCUGUAGGCAACAUCAGCUCCUGAUUUCUAGGUCUGGAUCUGGGUUCUCUGUAGCACAGGAAGGUCUCUACUUCUCCUACAUAAAUGCCUUGCAUGGCGGGAACUAAAUCAACUACACAGACCCAUACAUCCAGAGAGCAGAGGUGAGCUGGAUACAAGUGGCUUAGAGAUGUGGUGGAAGGAGGCCAGAGCUCCAAGGGAAGGGCAGCAAGGAGACAACAGCAUGGGUUGCAGCUCAGACAACAGGUAAAUAAAACCAAGCAAAGCUGCUGGUCACAGAUUUGACCAGGGUGGCAAGAAAUGACAAGCUACCAUGAGAUUCAACAGUGGCACGGAAGGAUGAUGAGAAGCAAACAGAUUAGGAGAAGCUGCCACCACCGUACAUAGAGGCACAGAUGACCAAGCAGAACAGCACCAGUCCCUGCAAGGUGUGCUCAGAUACAGCUCAGCACAGCCAUCUGGCCAGGAGGGAAUGAUAAUGCACAUGGUGUGCACUGCAGCCGGGAAGUUGAGAACCGCUGUGGGCACCUCAGGACUGAGUCUGGUUACCCUGCUGAUCCAAGAAAUGAAGCCAUCUAAAAUUUUGCCUGCUUUCACAAUUUUCUGUGUGUGUGUGUGUGUAUUAAACAAAGUGAACUAAGAAGCCUUUUAUUGGAGACAUAAUGUACUCACAGUAGUUUCAAAAUCAAUGGUGUCACUCUUCAGGUAAAUUACUCCAAGGCUUGGGCCUAGUGCAGAUGUUCAUUGGGGCAGGGAGCAGAGAGCGGCUGCAUCUAGAUCAGACAAAAAACAAAAAUAAGGUUGUUAAAUGAACAGGUGAUGGUGAUGGCAAUUAUUUAUUUUGAUAGGAAAG
Molecule: long non-coding RNA, 3152 nt
Filed under: Homo sapiens (human)
Lineage: Eukaryota; Metazoa; Chordata; Mammalia; Primates; Hominidae
Description: HSALNT0058990
Source: RNAcentral